This 1550-nucleotide ribosomal RNA is filed under the name Klebsiella pneumoniae. RNAcentral's name for it is "bacterial SSU rRNA". It matches the Rfam family "Bacterial small subunit ribosomal RNA". The record is from RNAcentral. Lineage: Bacteria; Pseudomonadati; Pseudomonadota; Gammaproteobacteria; Enterobacterales; Enterobacteriaceae.
AAAUUGAAGAGUUUGAUCAUGGCUCAGAUUGAACGCUGGCGGCAGGCCUAACACAUGCAAGUCGAGCGGUAGCACAGAGAGCUUGCUCUCGGGUGACGAGCGGCGGACGGGUGAGUAAUGUCUGGGAAACUGCCUGAUGGAGGGGGAUAACUACUGGAAACGGUAGCUAAUACCGCAUAACGUCGCAAGACCAAAGUGGGGGACCUUCGGGCCUCAUGCCAUCAGAUGUGCCCAGAUGGGAUUAGCUAGUAGGUGGGGUAACGGCUCACCUAGGCGACGAUCCCUAGCUGGUCUGAGAGGAUGACCAGCCACACUGGAACUGAGACACGGUCCAGACUCCUACGGGAGGCAGCAGUGGGGAAUAUUGCACAAUGGGCGCAAGCCGAUGCAGCCAUGCCGCGUGUGUGAAGAAGGCCUUCGGGUUGUAAAGCACUUUCAGCGGGGAGGAAGGCGUUAAGGUUAAUAACCUUGGCGAUUGACGUUACCCGCAGAAGAAGCACCGGCUAACUCCGUGCCAGCAGCCGCGGUAAUACGGAGGGUGCAAGCGUUAAUCGGAAUUACUGGGCGUAAAGCGCACGCAGGCGGUCUGUCAAGUCGGAUGUGAAAUCCCCGGGCUUCAACCUGGGAACUGCAUUCGAAACUGGCAGGCUAGAGUCUUGUAGAGGGGGGUAGAAUUCCAGGUGUAGCGGUGAAAUGCGUAGAGAUCUGGAGGAAUACCGGUGGCGAAGGCGGCCCCCUGGACAAAGACUGACGCUCAGGUGCGAAAGCGUGGGGAGCAAACAGGAUUAGAUACCCUGGUAGUCCACGCCGUAAACGAUGUCGAUUUGGAGGUUGUGCCCUUGAGGCGUGGCUUCCGGAGCUAACGCGUUAAAUCGACCGCCUGGGGAGUACGGCCGCAAGGUUAAAACUCAAAUGAAUUGACGGGGGCCCGCACAAGCGGUGGAGCAUGUGGUUUAAUUCGAUGCAACGCGAAGAACCUUACCUGGUCUUGACAUCCACAGAACUUUCCAGAGAUGGAUUGGUGCCUUCGGGAACUGUGAGACAGGUGCUGCAUGGCUGUCGUCAGCUCGUGUUGUGAAAUGUUGGGUUAAGUCCCGCAACGAGCGCAACCCUUAUCCUUUGUUGCCAGCGGUCCGGCCGGGAACUCAAAGGAGACUGCCAGUGAUAAACUGGAGGAAGGUGGGGAUGACGUCAAGUCAUCAUGGCCCUUACGACCAGGGCUACACACGUGCUACAAUGGCAUAUACAAAGAGAAGCGACCUCGCGAGAGCAAGCGGACCUCAUAAAGUAUGUCGUAGUCCGGAUUGGAGUCUGCAACUCGACUCCAUGAAGUCGGAAUCGCUAGUAAUCGUAGAUCAGAAUGCUACGGUGAAUACGUUCCCGGGCCUUGUACACACCGCCCGUCACACCAUGGGAGUGGGUUGCAAAAGAAGUAGGUAGCUUAACCUUCGGGAGGGCGCUUACCACUUUGUGAUUCAUGACUGGGGUGAAGUCGUAACAAGGUAACCGUAGGGGAACCUGCGGUUGGAUCACCUCCUUACCUUAAAGAA